Molecule: unclassified non-coding RNA, 406 nt
Filed under: Hevea brasiliensis (rubber tree)
Lineage: Eukaryota; Viridiplantae; Streptophyta; Magnoliopsida; Malpighiales; Euphorbiaceae
Source: RNAcentral
UAGUUUAGUUCUUUCUUUUUCUUUCCAGUCUAUAAAUACUCUCUCUAUAUCUCUUUCAUAGUAUGAACUUUUCUUUUACAUGACAUAUAUGGGCAUGGCCAAUUAUUUCAUGUAUUAUCCUGUAGUUUUGUCAGAAAAUUAUAAUAUAUAUACAUUGUAGCAGGUUUUCUUCUUCUUUUUCUUUUAAAUAAACUAUUCUUCAUUUUUAAAUACAUUUUCUCAUUUGUUCAAAUAUAUAUCAAUACUCAUGUCAAAUACCAGUGCUUAAUAUUGUGCUGAGAAUUCUGAGUUAAUUGACUGCCAUUGUGCUAGUAGCUAGUCUCACUAUUAAAUAUUAGUUCACAUAUUGCUGUUCUUAUAGAAAUUUAAUAUUUAAAUUCUUACACCUACUCUCAUUGAAAAAAUC